RNAcentral lists this ribosomal RNA (252 nucleotides) under uncultured microorganism. Its description in RNAcentral is "partial 16S ribosomal RNA". It matches the Rfam family "Bacterial small subunit ribosomal RNA", at positions 524 to 776 of the family's 1533-position model. The record is from RNAcentral.
UACGUAGGUCCCGAGCGUUGUCCGGAUUUAUUGGGCGUAAAGCGAGCGCAGGUGGUUUAAUAAGUCUGAUGUAAAAGGCAGUGGCUCAACCAUUGUGUGCAUUGGAAACUGUUAGACUUGAGUGCAGUAGAGGAGAGUGGAAUUCCAUGUGUAGCGGUGAAAUGCGUAGAUAUAUGGAGGAACACCGGUGGCGAAAGCGGCUCUCUGGCCUGUAACUGACACUGAUGCUCGAAAGCGUGGGGAGCAAACAGG